Molecule: ribosomal RNA, 588 nt
Filed under: uncultured bacterium
Lineage: Bacteria
Description: partial 16S ribosomal RNA
Rfam family: Bacterial small subunit ribosomal RNA
Source: RNAcentral
UGGGGAAUUUUGGACAAUGGGCGAAAGCCUGAUCCCAGCAAUGCCGCGUGUGUGAAGAAGGCCUUCGGGUUGUAAAGCACUUUUGUCCGGAAAGAAAUCCUUGGCUCUAAUACAGUCGGGGGAUGACGGUACCGGAAGAAUAAGCACCGGCUAACUACGUGCCAGCAGCCGCGGUAAUACGUAGGGUGCAAGCGUUAAUCGGAAUUACUGGGCGUAAAGCGUGCGCAGGCGGUUUGCUAAGACCGAUGUGAAAUCCCCGGGCUCAACCUGGGAACUGCAUUGGUGACUGGCAGGCUAGAGUAUGGCAGAGGGGGGUAGAAUUCCACGUGUAGCAGUGAAAUGCGUAGAGAUGUGGAGGAAUACCGAUGGCGAAGGCAGCCCCCUGGGCCAAUACUGACGCUCAUGCACGAAAGCGUGGGGAGCAAACAGGAUUAGAUACCCCUGGUAGUCCCACGCCCUAAACGAUGUCAACUAGUUGUUGGGGAUUCAUUUCCUUAGUAACGUAGCUAACGCGUGAAGUUGACCGCCUGGGGAGUACGGUCGCAAGAUUAAAACUCAAAUGAAUUGACGGGGUCAUAGCUGUUUCCU